Long non-coding RNA from Nicotiana tabacum (common tobacco), 1019 nucleotides. RefSeq lists it as uncharacterized. The record is from RefSeq and is a predicted model, not a curated record. NCBI's taxonomy places the organism in Eukaryota, Viridiplantae, Streptophyta, Magnoliopsida, Solanales, Solanaceae.
CACUUGCAUCUUUAUAUCUUCUCUGCAACUAAUUCUUUUUGUAAAAAGUUUUGCUCUUAUUCAAUCUUAAUCUGGCAUUUAAAAGGUGAAAGAGAAAAUUUAGCCAUAAUAUUUUUCGUAUUAAUUUUUGCAUAUCUACGUAGACUUGCUUGGAAUAUAUGCCUAGAUGUAUAAUUUUGUAUAAUUGAUGAACAAACUCUGAUUUUUAGAGUAACUCGAUUCCUUUGGCACACUGAUGCAGCCAAGGUGCUUGAUGAUCUGACCCAAACAACUAGCUUUUCUCUAGUUGACAAGUUGAUAAGGAGGAUGCAUCUGUCUCAAUUUACUUUCUACAUGCAUGUUUCAUGAUCUAUGCGAUGCAACUUUACUAUGUAUCAUAUAAUAAAAUGUCUCACCUUACAUUGAGUCUUGGGAUAUGUUGAGUCGAUUUCUAUAGCAACAUUUGGUCCAAAAAUCUUUUAAGUGUUUAAUUAAUCCUGUGAUAGGACAAUAUAAAUAUUUAAUCGAAUGUAGGUGUACGUAUCUUGAAGCUCAGAUCUUCUGAAAUUGCCGCAGCGAUGAUAAUGUUUGAUUCAGUCUACCAAGGAAAAGAAGAACACAUUGAAAGUAAUACUAGUCUGCUGCACAAGACAACUAUGAUCUUGGCUGAAGAGAGUAUGGAAGUGGAGGUUCCCAAGAUUUAGGUUGCCUAAGGUCCCAUUUUUCGGGAGUGAAACCUGCAACUGCAAAAGCUUUGAAAAUAUUCCCUAUAGCGAAGGCAGGAACGAGAAUUGUGCCUCUUAUGUUUAAAUGGCGGUGAGCAUGCAAAAAUCGUGGGAAUUGCUAUAUUGGAUUGUGCCACUGUCUGAAUAAUGAAUGCAUUAAUUUUUUUCUCUUUCGGUAAAGCGACUUGCAUUCCAGAUUUGGAUAGGAGUUGAGCACACAUUUUAGAGCGAUAGGUUGUAACUUUGGUUAAGGCUCCUCAAUACACAUCUAAGUUUUGAUUAUUUCCUACGAUAUUUCAUCACAUAUUAAAGGAG